RNAcentral lists this ribosomal RNA (157 nucleotides) under Glomus macrocarpum. RNAcentral's name for it is "5.8S ribosomal RNA". It matches the Rfam family "5.8S ribosomal RNA". From Rfam's summary of the family: 5.8S ribosomal RNA (5.8S rRNA) is a component of the large subunit of the eukaryotic ribosome. The record is from RNAcentral. Lineage: Eukaryota; Fungi; Glomeromycota; Glomeromycetes; Glomerales; Glomeraceae.
UCACUUUCAACAACGGAUCUCUUGGUUCUCGCAUCGAUGAAGAACGUAGCGAAGUGCGAUAAGUAGUGUGAAUUGCAGAAUUCCGUGGAUCAUCGAAUUUUUGAACGCAAAUUGCACUCUCUGGUAUUCCGGAGAGUAUGCCUGUUUGAGGGUCAUU